CCUAAAUGCUGGUUGCCAACCGCCAAUCAAAUCAAACGAAGAAGAAGAAAAAUAAACUAAAAUCAUUAAACUGCGUCAGCACAAACAGAUGAUGUCCCUGUUCUGCAUUUUACUCUCACUUCAUUCCAAAUCUCAGUGAGAUGCCUUCUUCAGCCCACGAAAACUCUGAUCCUGCGGUACAGAAUGAUGUUUAGCAGAAAACCUGUGACAGCUGCAGCAUUACUGAUACUCGUGAUGAAUGUCUGCAGAGGAAAUGGCCUCACAUGUCAUCGAGGAGAGUAUCAGAGAGGGAAUGAAUGCUGUCCUGUGUGUCCUGCUGGAAGUCGAGUUAAAACGCAUUGUACAGAAUUCACAAUAACUUCCUGUUUGCCCUGCACUGAGGGAACCUUCAUGAGUCAGCCGACUGGACGUAGACAAUGUUUUCUUUGUUCAACUUGUGUUGAAAGUUCUGGUUUGAAGAUAAAUACGUCAUGUACAACAACAUCAGAUGCAGUUUGUGAACCACUGGAGGGAUUCUACUGUCUGGAAUCUACAUGGAACGGCUGUAUGACAGCACAGAGACACACAAGCUGUCAACCAGGACAAUACAUCAGAAA
Molecule: long non-coding RNA, 596 nt
Organism: Micropterus salmoides (largemouth bass)
Lineage: Eukaryota; Metazoa; Chordata; Actinopteri; Centrarchiformes; Centrarchidae
Exons: 5
Source: RefSeq, a predicted model, not a curated record